Coffea arabica (coffee) is the source of this 2749-nucleotide non-coding RNA. The record is from RefSeq and is a predicted model, not a curated record. NCBI's taxonomy places the organism in Eukaryota, Viridiplantae, Streptophyta, Magnoliopsida, Gentianales, Rubiaceae.
UACAAGUAGCCCAACUUGCGUUACCAAUUUAUGGUAACUAAUCCUUCCGUUGGAGUUUACCGUUGGUAUUCCGACCACACGACUACAUGAGCCAGCAAAAAUAGCCGUUUGGCGGCACCCAGCAGCUUAUAUAUAGGGCUCGCGCUUGUCUUCUCACUUUCCAAAAGUUCAAAACAGAGAGAGGGGGAGAUAGAGGGCAGAGAAAUCAGAAAAUUGGGGGACGAAUUUGAUUUUUGCUUAGAGAAUUGCUUUCUUUUCCAGCGAUGAAGACAGAUUUUUGAGGAGCAGCGCUUUCAGAUGAGUGUUAUUUCUUUGCUGUUUCUUUGUUUUUCCCCCCUUCUUGGGGAUGAGGUUCUUCCGGUUCCGUGCUUUCUUGUUGCAUAUAACUGAUUUAUCUUCUUCAAGUUCCCUGCUUUCUUGUUGCAUAUAACCGAUUUAUCUGUUAUUUGCUCUCAAUUAUGACUUAAAGCCAAAUUAUGUGUGAAUUUGUCCCUGUGCAUGGGUUUUCAUAUAGUGGCUGAAGACCUAGAUUUAUCAAUUCUUGCUUCCAGUUGAGUCCCGAUGGUGUGGAUUGUUGUUUCCUUUAAUUUUUUGAGGCUGGUUUUACAUGUUAGAAACUGAAGGUUAAUUUUUCUGUCCGCCUCUCUAUUUUGAUCUAUUUUAAGGGAGAUCUAGACAUUCUUUGUUUUAUGUUGAAGCGCUUUGAAAAUAAAAAAGUAAAGACAAAAAGGAAUCGAAUACCAGUUAUUUUUAUAGAAGUUAAAUGGCGUAAAAUUGAUUAUCAUUAUUUGCACAUGUUUAUAUCAGACUUGAAACCUACUCUGAUAAAGAAAAAAAAAAUGAAAAGAAGCCAGUAGAUGAUUGACUAGAUAUUUUGCCCUUAGAUAGGUGAUUGCAUCACAAACUCCUGGUAGUUUGAAUACUAUUCCAUCUGUCCUUUAUGGCUUAUUUUAUCUGCUCGUAUGCCUAUUCAUUCGAUGGGUUAUGGGUACUUUUUUUUGUAAGCCGCAAAGGGAUAGAAGGUAUAUGUUUAAACCACAUGGAGUUUUUGAGUCAUGCAACUAGAUUAUGCAGGGCAAAAAUAUUAGUGAAUACUUCUUGCUUCCAAUUGAGUUCUGAUGGUGUCGAUUGUUGUUUCCUUUAAUUUUUUAAGGCUGGUUUUUACAUGUUAGAAACUGAAGGUCUUAAGAAUUUUUCUGUCUGCCUCUCUAUUUUGUUGUAUUUUAAGGGAGAUCUAGACAUUCUUUGUUUUAUGUUGAAGCACUUUGAAAAUCAAAAAAUAAAGACAAAAUGGAAUCGAAUACCAGUUAUUUUUAUGGAAGUUACAUAGCAUAAAAUUGAUUACCAGUUACUUUCACAUGUUUAUAUCAUGCAUGGUACCUACUCUGAUAAAGAAAAAAAAAUGAAAAGAAGCCAGUAGAUGAUUGACUAGAUAUUUUGCCCUUAGAUAAUAUAGGUGAUUGAAUCACAAACUCCUGGUAGUUUGAAUACUAUUCCAUCUGUCCUUUAUGGCUUAUUUUAUCUGCUCAUAUGCCUAUUCAUUCGAUGGGUUAUGGGUACUUUUUUUGUAAGCCACAAAGGGAUAGAAGGUAUAUGUGUAAACCACAUGGAGUUUUUGAGUCAUGCAACUAGAUUAUCCAGGGCAAAAUAUUAGUGAAUUGCUUACUUUUAGCACUUUGAUUUAGUUUACUUUAGAUUUUCUGUCAUGCGGUCUGUUUACACUGUUGAAUUAUACAAUUUAUCUUUUCUUGCUUGUUUUUGCACCAGCUGUCCUUAGUUAUGCUAGAAAUACUUACUGAAAGACAUCUAGCUUAGUUUCAGUUAUGCUGCCCAGGCAUGUUCUGUAGUAAUUUGUCUAUUGAAUGAUGGUAUUCACUUAGAUGGAAAUUCUCAAAAAAAAGAGAAAAGAAAAUGGACUUGUCUCAGUUACUAAAGACUUAGAAUUGAUUGCUGAUAGUUUCUUUAGUUGUUGAAUGGCAAUAAAUUGUUGCUUUCCCUCAUUUAGGCUUUGAUUUUUCACUCGUGAGAAUAUGGAUGAUCCACUUUUGGUUUCUUUAUAUACCAUCAGCCUUCCGUUUGAGGCACAGGUACUCUUUUGUAAGUUACAAGAGUCAGAAAAUAUGUUGUUUAAAUGUAAGAGGUCGAGUUGUCUCCUAUGGCAAAAAUAACUUACCAAACUGCAACUUUCUUGUCCAAUUCCCGUACUUCACUAUCAUUUCAUCUUCAUAUUGGUUUUUCCCAUUGUUGGUUUUGCAGGAUACUAUUUACCAGUAAACAGUGUCUCUACUUGUUUUUGUCUUCCCUCUUUUAUCAAUGAGGAACUCCCGAAUGAAAGUCCUGCCUAUCUUAAGCGAAUGGUUUCUUUUCCCUCCAGAGAAGAAUCUUAUUUACCUACUCCAAAUUAGUGGACAAUGAAAAGACACUGGAUGAGUUCUAACAAAAGCUUGCGUUAUUAGUUGACCACUUUUCCAUUUUGAGAAAUGCUGAGCUUUUCCUCCCAGGUUUUCCUGUUUGAAUAUGUUGAGUUGGGGGAUUCGUGAAGGGCGUAGACUAAAGAUGUAUCAUUGUAUUUUAUCACUUGUAGUUGCCAACAUAAGUUAAUUUAAUUGUUAAGGAUAAGUUAUUUUCUUAUAAAAGGUCAUGUGUUUGAAUUUCGCUCUCAAUACGAAAGCCGUGUUAAUGGCUAUCUAUGAAAAUCUUUGUAAGUAACCUAUGAAUGCUUAUGAGCAUGCCCUUCCAUGUGCGAAAA